Cricetulus griseus (Chinese hamster) is the source of this 1681-nucleotide non-coding RNA. Lineage: Eukaryota; Metazoa; Chordata; Mammalia; Rodentia; Cricetidae. The record is from RefSeq and is a predicted model, not a curated record.
UUGUUAAAAGUUAAAAAAUGAAAACUGUUCCUGUAUUCAAAGAUGCAGAGUAAAGUAAGUUGGUUCAAAUCUUUUCUGCACAUGGGUAAAAUUAUUUUAUAUCUAUGAAAAUACUUUUAGGGCAACAGACCCAUAUGUAAUAAAUAGUCUGUGUGUUUGAAAUGGUUAUCAAUAACUUUUCACUAACAAUUUAGCCUGAAAAACACUUUUAUUUUCCUUUGGCAAUUGUUUCUUAUUCAGUAGUCAUGGCAUAGGAAAUUCUUUUUCUGGAAAUCUAAAAUGUCUUCCAGAAGUACCAGUAGCAGAUGCUAACUUAUGGGAAUCUAAAAACAUUUUUUCUCUAAUGACAAACUCUCAUGUUGACUUCACAAGUUACGGAGUCAGAGGAAAGGGGCCUGUGGUGCUUUGAAUGUGAUGUCCUCCACCGUCUUCUGCAUUUAAGAAGUGGUUCUUAGUCGAUGGCUCUGUUUGACAGUUAAUGAGAUGUGCCUUACUGCAGGAAGUAUGUCACUGAGGGUGAAGUUUGAGAGUUCAAACCCUGCUGUCAAUUUAAGUGUGCUGUCUGCUUCCUGUUUAAGAUGUGUGAUCUUAGCUCCUUCAGUCACCAUGCCUGCUUGCUGCCAUGCUUCCUACUGUGACUGUGAUGGACUCUUAUCCCUGUGAACCACAAGCCCCAGAUAAAAUCUUCUUUCUGUAAGUCGAUUUAGUCAUGAUGCUUUACCACAAUAAUAGGAAGACAAAAGCUGGUGUUAGAGAGUGUUGUUGUGAAACCUGACCAUUCUGUUUUGUGGAGGAGUGUAGAAGACGACUUUGGAAGUUUGAACUAGAAAAGUGGCUUAAUAGGCCAUCCUUGUAGGAGUCUGGAAGACAGUAGUGUUGAGAGUUACAUGGACUGUGGAGGCCCAGCUCAAGAGGUUCUGGAGGGGAACAAUGUUAGCAACUGGGCUAGAGACCAAUUCUUGUGAUAUCUCGGCAAAGAAUGUGGUUGCUUUCUGCUUCUGUCCUAAGAACUUGCCUGAGAUUAAAUUUAAAAGUAAUGAACCAAUUCCUUGGGUGUAGGACAUUUUAAGACAGCCUAAUAUUGACUCUGCUCCAUGGUUAUUAGUAAUCACUCUUGUGCAGGUCUACAGUGAAAAAGAACAAAUAAGGCAGAAAGAAAUAGAAAAUAUACAUUUGAAGAGAAAAAGAGCACCAGGAAACUUAAUGUUGCAGCUAAGGCUUGUGCCUAAAGAGGUAUUUAAACCACGUCCGAGCUGCCUCUCCACAGGACCUUGCUGGUGGCUAUACUUCUUCUCUUGCUUGUCACAGAGCACUACAGGAUGCAUUCAGUGGGCUUUUCUGGCAGCCCAGAUAAACCUGUGUUUUCUCAUUUAUAAGAUUUGGAUCCUGGAGCCAAACCAAGGGGUUUGAAAGUAAAGAGAUUUGUGAAAUGCCAGCACACACAGCUGCAAGACUGCGCCACUUCUAGCUGCUGUGUUCAGGUGUUUAUUACAGUCUGAACCAAGCUGAGAAAUGUGUUGCAUGUAGAUUCCUGGAAGAGCUUUAUUUUCUACUUCUGUUCUUCAGACAGGGAUUGAAGCAUUGCACCUCAUCUGACAGGAAAAGAAUAAAUGAUUUCCCUAUGUAUGGAGUUGACAGACUUAUAAAAAAAUUUUUUUAAAUAAAGCUUGACUUUAUGGUA